This 1352-nucleotide ribosomal RNA is filed under the name Limosilactobacillus fermentum. RNAcentral's name for it is "bacterial SSU rRNA". It matches the Rfam family "Bacterial small subunit ribosomal RNA", at positions 55 to 1324 of the family's 1533-position model. Lineage: Bacteria; Bacillati; Bacillota; Bacilli; Lactobacillales; Lactobacillaceae. The record is from RNAcentral.
UUGCAAGUCGAACGCGUUGGCCCAAUUGAUUGAUGGUGCUUGCACCUGAUUGAUUUUGGUCGCCAACGAGUGGCGGACGGGUGAGUAACACGUAGGUAACCUGCCCAGAAGCGGGGGACAACAUUUGGAAACAGAUGCUAAUACCGCAUAACAGCGUUGUUCGCAUGAACAACGCUUAAAAGAUGGCUUCUCGCUAUCACUUCUGGAUGGACCUGCGGUGCAUUAGCUUGUUGGUGGGGUAACGGCCUACCAAGGCGAUGAUGCAUAGCCGAGUUGAGAGACUGAUCGGCCACAAUGGGACUGAGACACGGCCCAUACUCCUACGGGAGGCAGCAGUAGGGAAUCUUCCACAAUGGGCGCAAGCCUGAUGGAGCAACACCGCGUGAGUGAAGAAGGGUUUCGGCUCGUAAAGCUCUGUUGUUAAAGAAGAACACGUAUGAGAGUAACUGUUCAUACGUUGACGGUAUUUAACCAGAAAGUCACGGCUAACUACGUGCCAGCAGCCGCGGUAAUACGUAGGUGGCAAGCGUUAUCCGGAUUUAUUGGGCGUAAAGAGAGUGCAGGCGGUUUUCUAAGUCUGAUGUGAAAGCCUUCGGCUUAACCGGAGAAGUGCAUCGGAAACUGGAUAACUUGAGUGCAGAAGAGGGUAGUGGAACUCCAUGUGUAGCGGUGGAAUGCGUAGAUAUAUGGAAGAACACCAGUGGCGAAGGCGGCUACCUGGUCUGCAACUGACGCUGAGACUCGAAAGCAUGGGUAGCGAACAGGAUUAGAUACCCUGGUAGUCCAUGCCGUAAACGAUGAGUGCUAGGUGUUGGAGGGUUUCCGCCCUUCAGUGCCGGAGCUAACGCAUUAAGCACUCCGCCUGGGGAGUACGACCGCAAGGUUGAAACUCAAAGGAAUUGACGGGGGCCCGCACAAGCGGUGGAGCAUGUGGUUUAAUUCGAAGCUACGCGAAGAACCUUACCAGGUCUUGACAUCUUGCGCCACCCUAGAGAUAGGGCGUUUCCUUCGGGAACGCAAUGACAGGUGGUGCAUGGUCGUCGUCAGCUCGUGUCGUGAGAUGUUGGGUUAAGUCCCGCAACGACCGCAACCCUUGUUACUAGUUGCCAGCAUUAAGUUGGGCACUCUAGUGAGACUGCCGGGACAAACCGGAAGAAGGUGGGACAAGUCAAACAUCAGCCCUUUGACUGGGCUACACGUGCUAAAUGGACGUAAACAAGUCCGAACCCGAGGGAAAAUCCUAAACUUCUGUCAAAGGGGGGAAUCCCCGCAAAUCAAAACUUUAUCGGAACAGCGGGAUUCCGCUUCCCCCCCCAGCAAAACAAAAAAAAAAAAAAAAAAGAAAAUUUUUU